Oreochromis niloticus (Nile tilapia) is the source of this 2715-nucleotide long non-coding RNA. RefSeq lists it as uncharacterized. The transcript has 5 exons. The record is from RefSeq and is a predicted model, not a curated record. Lineage: Eukaryota; Metazoa; Chordata; Actinopteri; Cichliformes; Cichlidae.
GUCAUGGGUGAAAACCCAGAGUCCCCUAUCAUACGAGGUGGCUAACCCGCAGCUUUUUGAACAGGAUAUUGGAGAGCUGGAAUUGUUCCUGUGGAAUCUGUCUGCUCUCUAUUUAUGGCAACCCGCUGCACUUCCUCUCCUGGCACUAACCUGACUCACAUGGAUGCACCAGAUUAUGCUUACUGACCAGUCUCGGAGUCGAAUCGUCUCAGAUGAACGGGCCAAAGUGGAAGUGGAAAUCUGCUGUAGUUGAGCCAGUGAGUCAGCUUACAAAGCACCCGUUUGAAGGGAAACCACAGAAAAGAACAUGACCUUUGGCAUGCACUGCGGCGGUUUCUAGCUGAGUGUGAAGAGGCCAGGAUGAGAGUCAGCACCUCCAAGUUUGAAGUCAUUGUUCGCUGCCAAAAAAACAUUGGAUUGCUCCUUCUCCGCUGUCAGAGAGUUGCUGUCUCCAGGCCUCUCGGGAUCUUGUUCACUGGUGAUGGUAAAAGAAUUAAUGGACCGUUGUGGUGAAGAGAGAGCUGGGCUGAAACAAAAAGAUUCCAAUUUACCAGUCAGUCUAUGUUCAAGGAGCUCUGGGUAAAAUCGGUAAGGAUGAGAUGGCUAAGGCCUCACAGAGCAACCAUUGGUCCCUUUAGUACUUUUACUCCCCAAUCAGUUGGAGAGUGGUUGCUCACCUUCAAACUCAAAGUUGUGGCUUACUGUACAGGGAGGUUACAUCUUAUUGGAUCCCUUCCAAACUCAUCCUGCCUUUCUACACAAAUCAAAUAGUUCUGAUUGGAUAUCCUCUUUCCAGAACAUUUUUUUCUAGUUUUUAUUCAUUGACAAAAGAGUGAAAACAUUUCAUCAUAGUUUUUGUCCUCGUCCAUUAGUUUUUAUAUAGUUAUCGUCUUGUUUUCGUCAGGAAAAAGGGUUGUUCGCAAAAAUGAUUGGUCAACAAAAUAAACACUCCCUUCUAAAAACCAAAGAAAUCGCAUGGAGGUUUUUCAGUGCAACACCCUACCAGUUUCAACUGCCAGCAACCACUUACCAAAUGGUCGAGAUAUUUUGCUUAGCAACCUGAUUAAUAAUAGUUUGAGGUGUUUCGAUAUCUGACUGGAGGUCAGAGUUAGUUUCAGGAGUUUCAGAAAUCUGGGGUGCUUUCUCAGUUCCUUCCUUUUAAGGUUUUCCAGUGAGCACAGACAUUCAAUCACAGACCCAGAUCCUACUGGAAGGAUCAAACUGCCAGCAUUUGGGGACUGCCCAGAGGGAACUGUUGCCAGGAUGGAAGUCUUAGGCUGGUACCAUGUGUGUAUAAAGGGUAUUUUUUUUUUAUGUCUGUUUAUUAUAACUUCUCUGAAGUGGAUACACUGGAGAGGGAGAGGGGAUUUUGAAGCUGGGGCACCAUAUAAGCUGUUGUUAUGAAUACAGUGUGUUUUUGUGACUGAUGAUGGACAAACUCCCCAUGACAACAACUGGCAUGUCUGCUAAUGGAACCCGACAGGUGACACAGAGCCAAUAAGACCAACAUGUCACAUCUAAACCGGCUAACAUAGAGGACACACACACACACGUUUGGAUUUCAAGCCACAUAUUUUGCCUGUGCGCACGUAGUGCUUUUAACUAACUGUGCACAGACACAACACAAACAGCCUGGCAGCGUACCACAACUGACAAAGGCGAUAGACGCUUAUCCGCAAGCACAAACACAGCCUUAUAUCAAGUGUUUGAUGACAUUUUAAUGGUAACAACCAUCUUUGUGAGGCAGGCCAGUUUCUACGACUGUUUUGAUUACUCACUCUUAGUCAUCGGCAGCAGCAGUACCGGCAGCGGCAGCAGCAGCAGCAGCAGCAGCAGCGCUGAGGCCCCAUGUGCCACAUACCAUGACAACCGCAGCAGCACAAAGAGCCCUAGCUGUGCCAAAGAGACUUGUAAAACCAAAGAAACCAAGUCUCCAAAGCCUGAAAGCCUGUGAGCAGUCAUUCAAACCAAAAGAUCUGAAGCAACAGCACCAUGAAGCUAUCCACCUACCUCCUCUGCCAUCCACUAAAAAUGUCGGUGACCAACAGGUAUGAGAUGAGCCUUUAAAGGAUGUGAUGUCGACCCCUCCUCUCCCCAGAUGGCUGUUUCCCAUACAGCGGGACCCUACCUUCAAAUGUCAACUUCAUGAGUACAUCAGUACUGACCUCGACAGUCAAGCUGUGAUUUUCCAGUGUGAUGAUGAUGAUGCAGUAUUUCUAACUGUGAAGCAGGGGGGAAAUAUCCAGUGCAAGCUGCUAUGCAUCCCCUUCUUUGCACGCUACAGACUAUGGAAACCCUUCUAUGUCUGGCACAAAAAUGUUUGUGCCAAUAAGAUUACUUUGGCCAGGGAGUCACUACAAAAAAAUUGUGUUUUGUAUUUGUAUUUUCAGAUGCAUUGAAAAAUUGUCAGAUUUUUUGAUAUGAUUGAAAUAUUCUGGUUAUGUUGAAUUUUAAUUUGAAAUUAAUAUGGGAUUUUAUUUGUAUGUUUUUAUAUGUGUCUGGAAGGCACAUAUAAAUAGGCAAUAAAUAUGAAAACGCACCCUCUUUGAAAGUUCCUUAGAUGCCAUGGCGUCAUGACAGCUUUGAAUUGACCUGAUGUAUUCCAGAUUGUAUUUGCUGCUGCGAACGUGUACUCACACAUGUUUAAGCACUUUCUGAGAAUCUACAAGGAGAAUGAAAGUUUGGAGUUGGAUGCAGUGCAGGGACAGGAUCGUG